AUAAGGAGGAUGCAAGCGUUAUCCGGAUUUAUUGGGUUUAAAGGGUGCGUAGGCGGGACUGUAAGUCAGGGGUGAAAUACUGCAGCUUAACUGUAGCACUGCCUUUGAAACUGCCGUUCUUGAGUACAGUUGAGGUAGGCGGAAUGUGGUGUGUAGCGGUGAAAUGCUUAGAUAUACCACAGAACGCCGAUUGCGAAGGCAGCUUACUAAGAUGUUACUGACGCUGAGGCACGAAAGCGUGGGAAUCAAACAGGAUGAGAUACCCUGGUAGUCCACGCUGUAAACGAUGAUUACUUGUUGUUAGCGAUAUAUAGCUAGUGACUGAGCGAAAGCAAUAAGUAAUCCACCUGGCGAGUACGUCGGCAUCGAUGAAACUCAAAUGAAUUGACGGGG
RNAcentral lists this ribosomal RNA (393 nucleotides) under uncultured bacterium. RNAcentral describes it as "partial 16S ribosomal RNA". It matches the Rfam family "Bacterial small subunit ribosomal RNA", at positions 523 to 918 of the family's 1533-position model. The record is from RNAcentral.